AAUAACCAAAUAUGAUACUCGGGCUUAGGGUCAAGUUGGUAAUUUUUCUUACAGCUCCCCCUCCCGGAUCCCAGGUAUCAUAUGCGCCCCAAAAUAAAGAGCCUUGAAUACUAGAAGAAAAACACCUAGACCUAACAAGAUUAAGUGAAUAUCUAAAAUUAUGGUCAUUUUAUAUCGAUCUUUCCA
Molecule: antisense RNA, 186 nt
Filed under: Nicotiana attenuata
Lineage: Eukaryota; Viridiplantae; Streptophyta; Magnoliopsida; Solanales; Solanaceae
Description: lncRNA IsrR
Rfam family: Antisense RNA which regulates isiA expression
Source: Rfam by way of RNAcentral